This is a long non-coding RNA of Schistocerca nitens (vagrant locust), 935 nucleotides long. RefSeq lists it as uncharacterized. NCBI's taxonomy places the organism in Eukaryota, Metazoa, Arthropoda, Insecta, Orthoptera, Acrididae. The transcript has 2 exons. The record is from RefSeq and is a predicted model, not a curated record.
UGUAACGUCAAAACUGACGCUGAUUUGUUUUUAUUCGUGGGUAAACAACCACUAAGGUGGAAGACAUGUCAUCAGUAAUUGGAGAAAAAGAAGAAAAGCGUGUUGCAUGACUCGCAUUUCAUUAGUAGUGCACAGGUUCUUCAAGAAAUAAGAGUUGCCUGUACACGUUGUUGGAGAGUUGACAAGGCAUUGUACACUCUAGCUCCAAGAAAUAGCAGUACAGCUCUUUGAAAUGAAUACUUCUUGCAAGAAUAACAUUGUUUCUAAUCCCUGCAAUGCUAAAAGGGUGCCACCCCGAGGAAUUCAAAGCAGGUAUUUUAUUCCAAGCAUUGGAAUUUGCCAUGCAGGAUGACACGGACAAUUUAAUUGAAAAGGCUAGGGGUGUUUUCGCUUGCAAAGUAAGGAAUGGACCGGUGGUGCUGAAGGAUUCUGGGUUGUUGAUGCAAGAACAGGAAAAGGAAAAAUUGAAUAUUUUGGUAAAACUAAGCCAGAUCUCAUUUUUACCAUCAAUGAUGAGGAUGUCCCAGACUUGAUGACAGGAAAACUAGAUGCACAACGAGCAUUUUUCCAGGGAAAAAUCAAACUGCAAGGAAACAUGGGGUUGGCAAUGAGACUUCUUGAUGUGCAAAGAAGAGCUAAAGGGCGUAUUGAAGAAUUCAGGUCAAAACUGUGAUUCAGUGAGGAAAUUGUUGCCAAUAUGUACUCUUGCUAUUGUCUGUUGUUCUAAGAAACUUCCCUCAGGUGUUUGCCAGUCAUAAUUAUAAUGUUCUUUGUUGCUAUAAGAAGCUUUCUGAGUUGUUUAAUUUCAGGUUAUGGAAAUACGUAUGUUUACUUUUAUACAGUGGUUUCUUUUAUAUAUAUAUUUAAAUACAAAAUUGUUUCUUGAGGUACUUGACUAACAUAAUAUUUGUAAUAAAAGCAAUUUGUAAACAUUA